GAAAUGCGAUAAGUAAUGUUAAUUGCAGAAUUCCGUGAAUCAUCGAAUCUUUGAACGCACAUUGCGCCCUCUGGCAUUCCGGGGGGCAUGCCUGUCCGAGCGUCAUUACGCACCCUCAAGCCCGGCUUGUGUGAUGGGCCCCGGCGUCUCGUUCGCGAGACGGGCCCGAAAGGCAGCGGCGGCGUCGACCCGAUGAGCCCGAGCGUAUGGGGACUUCUGUCACACGUUCGCGGUGCGGACCGGCGCCUGCUUGACUUUUCUGAUUAUCCAGGUUGACCUCGGAUCAGGUAGGGAUACCCGCUGAACUUAAGC
This 312-nucleotide unclassified non-coding RNA is filed under the name plant metagenome. RNAcentral describes it as "partial contains 5.8S ribosomal RNA, internal transcribed spacer 2, and large subunit ribosomal RNA". The stretch from base 1 to 105 matches the Rfam family "5.8S ribosomal RNA", at positions 50 to 154 of the family's 154-position model. The record is from RNAcentral.